CGCUGUCCGGCCCCGGGCACAUGGAAAGGCGCGGGGCUGAUGAGAGGCUCCCUGGGCAGCCACGGGGCUGGAGGGCUGGGAGAGUUUGUGAGGUGGAGGAAGAAGGAUGCUGAGGUGGCCCUGAUCCCAGCUCCUCAUUUAAGUGUGACAGCUACGUGGGAUACUAAAAAGCCUCGGGAGCCUGUACCUGGAGGAACACUGAUGACCAGGAUACAUAUUCCAUUUGCUACCAUCACAGAGCUGUGUUCUAAAGGGGGAAGACAGAGAAAACCAAAUGCACGAGACAAAUGGUAAUUGUGACUGCAAUACAGGCCAAGAGGGGAACCAAUCACAGGGCCAAGAAAGAAAAUGCAAGAGAACACAUGCCUGUCCAUGUGAAUACACAAAUAUGUGUGUGUACAUAUACAUAUUUAUGUGACUUUUAAAACUUGAGACAAAACCGGACAGAAACAGUGACAGCUGUGCAUGGUGUGCAGAGAAGGGUGCGCCAGGUUACUUCUGAAACAUCCAGGUUGAUGAAGCUAAUUUAUUGUUUUGGCAAGGGCUUACUGUUCCUGACAAUCCUCCAUAUGAUAAGGGGGCCUUUAGAAUCGAAAUCAACUUUCCAGCAGAGUACCCAUUCAUACCACUGAAGAUCACCUUUAAAACGAAGUUCUGUCACCCAAACACUAAUGAAGAAGGGCAAGUUUGCCUGCUGGUAAUUAGUGCUGAGUACUCAGAGCCAGCAACCAAGACCGACCAGGAAAUCCAGUCCCUCACAGCACCCCCAGCCCCAGCACCCACUCCGGGCUGACCAGCUGGAGAAUACUCAGUUCUGUAAGAAUGCUGAAGAGUUUACAGAGAAAUAUGGGGAAAAGCAACCUGUGGACUGAAAUGUGCCACAAAUGAUUCCAGCAAGUGUGAGCAGGGACCGAGCAGUGCACUCAGACACCUGAAAAGCAGGACAUGUGCUGUUCACUUUUGCAGUUACUAGCUUUCUACAGUUUUCUUAAUCAAAGUGGCCUGGCAACCUGUGAAGAAAGGAUCAAAACUUUCAGAUAUUCUAGUUCCGCUUUCUUUGUUUUAAAAAUCACUGCUUCAAUCCACUUCAAAAACAUGGUGUUUCUUGUCCAAUUUACCCCAAAUCUGCAAUCUACAUUUAGACUAUAAAGUUAAAAAAAAAAGAAAAAAGAAAAAUAAAGGGUGCUGUUCCCCUUCCUUCCUCUCCUUGCAUUGUUUGUGUUUCAAAUUCAUUUUCUAACACCCAGACCCCAUCCUUACUGCAAAGAAGAAACCACUCAGGUGGCUUUUCUUUUCCAGGGUUACAUUGCCCUCUGUGGGAGUCGGUCCAGUUCUCCUGAUGCCAGUCUAGGUCCUUUUUAAAAACUGC
Long non-coding RNA from Heterocephalus glaber (naked mole-rat), 1369 nucleotides. The record is from Ensembl. Lineage: Eukaryota; Metazoa; Chordata; Mammalia; Rodentia; Bathyergidae.